RNAcentral lists this ribosomal RNA (413 nucleotides) under uncultured bacterium. RNAcentral describes it as "bacterial SSU rRNA". It matches the Rfam family "Bacterial small subunit ribosomal RNA", at positions 28 to 444 of the family's 1533-position model. The record is from RNAcentral.
GAUGAACGCUGGCGGCGCGCCUAACACAUGCAAGUCGAACGGCACCCCUCUCCGGAGGGAAGCGAGUGGCGAACGGCUGAGUAACACGUGGAGAACCUGCCCCCUCCCCCGGGAUAGCCGCCCGAAAGGACGGGUAAUACCGGAUACCCCGGGGUGCCGCAUGGCACCCCGGCUAAAGCCCCGACGGGAGGGGAUGGCUCCGCGGCCCAUCAGGUAGACGGCGGGGUGACGGCCCACCGUGCCGACAACGGGUAGCCGGGUUGAGAGACCGACCGGCCAGAUUGGGACUGAGACACGGCCCAGACUCCUACGGGAGGCAGCAGUGGGGAAUCUUGCGCAAUGGGGGGAACCCUGACGCAGCGACGCCGCGUGCGGGACGGAGGCCUUCGGGUAGUAAACCGCUUUCAGCAGGG